CCUACGGGUGGCAGCAGUGAGGAAUAUUGGUCAAUGGGCGGGAGCCUGAACCAGCCAAGCCGCGUGAAGGAAGAAGGCGCCAAGCGUCGUAAACUUCUUUUGUCGGGGAACAAAGGUCUCCACGUGUGGCGUUGUGAGUGUACCCGAAGAAAGAGCAUCGGCUAACUCCGUGCCAGCAGCCGCGGUAAUACGGAGGAUGCGAGCGUUAUCCGGAUUCAUUGGGUUUAAGGGGUGCGUAGGCGGUCCGGAAAGUCAGCGGUAAAAGCCCGGGGCAAAACACCGACGAGCCGUUGAAACUGUCGGACUAGAGACGGCGAGAGGUACGCGGAAUGCGCGGUGUAGCGGUGAAAUGCAUAGAUAUCGCGCAGAACUCCGAUUGCGAAGGCAGCGUACCGGCGCCGGACUGACGCUGAGGCACGAAAGCGUGGGUAUCGAACAGGAUUAGAUACCCCUGUAGUC
This 459-nucleotide ribosomal RNA is filed under the name uncultured bacterium. RNAcentral describes it as "partial 16S ribosomal RNA". It matches the Rfam family "Bacterial small subunit ribosomal RNA", at positions 338 to 795 of the family's 1533-position model. The record is from RNAcentral.